Molecule: ribosomal RNA, 253 nt
Filed under: uncultured bacterium
Lineage: Bacteria
Description: partial 16S ribosomal RNA
Rfam family: Bacterial small subunit ribosomal RNA
Source: RNAcentral
UACGUAGGUGGCAAGCGUUGUCCGGAUUUAUUGGGCGUAAAGCGAGCGCAGGCGGUUCCUUUAGUCUGAUGUGAAAACCCCCGGCUCAACCGGGGAGGGUCAUUGGAAACUGGGGAACUUGAGUGCAGAAGAGGAGAGUGGAAUUCCAUGUGUAGCGGUGAAAUGCGUAGAUGUAUGGAGGAACACCAGUGGCGAAGGCGACUCUCUGGUCUGUAACUGACGCUGAGGAUCGAAAACGUGGGUAGCAAACAGG